AUGGGGUUGGCAACGCUAUCAGUCUGCCCUGGGAGCCCCCCGUCCUGGGGGUCGACCAGCAGCUCAGGGAACCCCUGAGUCCACAGAUCAAACGCCAGCGGCCACUUCCUAUGUGGUUUAGAUAUGACCGGCCCCAGCCGCUGACCGGCUGGGAAACUAUUGCGGAACCUGCGGAAGGAUCAUUACCGAGAGGGGGCUUCGUGCUCCAGGGGUUUCGGCCCCGUACUCUUCACCCUUUGCCUACCUACCUUUGUUGCUUUGGCGGGCCUCGGGGUACAUCCCGCGCCGGCCAGGGCUUUGCCGCCUCGGCUUGUGAGCGCCCGUCGGAGGCCCAUUCAAUCCUGUUUUAUCAGUGACGUCCGAGUGAAAACACAAUCGUUAAAAACUUUCAACAACGGAUCUCUUGGUUCCAGCAUCGAUGAAGAACGCAGCGAAAUGCGAUAAGUAAUGUGAAUUGCAGAAUUCAGUGAAUCAUCGAAUCUUUGAACGCACAUUGCGCCCCUUGGUAUUCCGGGGGGCAUGCCUGUUCGAGCGUCAUUGCACCCCUCAAGCGCAGCUUGGUACUGAGCCUUCGCCCCCGCGGCGGGCUCGAAAAGUAUUGGCGGCUCGGCGUAGACUUCAAGUGUAGUAAACUUCUCCCGCUMUGGAAGUCGCGUCGUGGCCCGCCAGAUAACCCCCAUGAUUCCAUCAUAGAC
Molecule: ribosomal RNA, 695 nt
Filed under: Protoparmelia aff. badia A GS-2015
Lineage: Eukaryota; Fungi; Ascomycota; Lecanoromycetes; Lecanorales; Parmeliaceae
Description: eukaryotic LSU rRNA
Source: RNAcentral